This 858-nucleotide ribosomal RNA is filed under the name uncultured euryarchaeote. RNAcentral's name for it is "bacterial SSU rRNA". It matches the Rfam family "Archaeal small subunit ribosomal RNA", at positions 1 to 879 of the family's 1478-position model. Lineage: Archaea; Methanobacteriati; Methanobacteriota. The record is from RNAcentral.
UUCCGGUUGAUCCCGCCGGAGGCGACCGCUUUGGGAGUUCGAUUAAGCCAUGCGAGUCGUGAGUCUUAGGGACUCGGCAUACUGCUCAGUAACACGUGGAUAACCUGCCCUAUCGUCUGGAAUAACCUCGGGAAACUGAGAAUAAGGCCGGAUAGUUCACAAUGCCUGGAACGGUUUGUGAAUCAAGGUAGGAUGGGUCUGCGGCGUAUCAGGUUGUAGGGGGUGUAAAGGACCCCCUAGCCUUCGACGCGUACGGGUGUUGGGAGACAUAGCCCGGAGAUGGAUUCUGAGACACGAAUCCAGACCCUACGGGGUGCAGCAGGCGCGAAAACUUCACACUGCAGGAAACUGUGAUGAGGGAACUCCUAGUGCAUGCACUAUGUGUAUGUAGAUCCUACUCUUAACAAGUAGAGGGAAAGGGCUGGGAAAGACCGGUGCCAGCCGCCGCGGUAAUACCGGCAGCUCAAGUGGUCGUCGCUUUUAUUGGGCCUAAAACGUCCGUAGCCUGCUUGGUAAAUCUGUGGGUAAAUCAAUCCGCUCAACGGAUUGAAUUCUGCAGAGACUGCCAGACUAGGGACCGGGAGAGGUGUGGGGUACUCGAGGGGUAGGGGUAAAAUCCUGUCAUCCUUCGAGGACCACCAGUUGCGAAGGCGCCACACUGGAACGGAUCCGACGGUCAGGGACGAAGCCUAGGGGCACGAACCGGAUUAGAUACCCGGGUAGUCCUAGGUGUAAACGCUGUGAACUUGGUGUCGGGGGUCCGCAAGGGGUCCCCGGUGCCGGAGUGAAGAUGUUAAGUUCACUGCCUGGGGAGUACGGUCGCAAGGCUGAAACUUAAAGGAAUUGGCGGGGCAGCAC